UCAGAAAUAGUUUACAUAAAAUUUUAAAUUUGGAAUUUAAAGAAGAUUCUUUCUUUCUGAC
This 61-nucleotide transfer RNA is filed under the name Eomenopon denticulatum. Its description in RNAcentral is "tRNA-Pro". The record is from RNAcentral. Lineage: Eukaryota; Metazoa; Arthropoda; Insecta; Psocodea; Menoponidae.